Molecule: long non-coding RNA, 1088 nt
Filed under: Piliocolobus tephrosceles (Ugandan red Colobus)
Lineage: Eukaryota; Metazoa; Chordata; Mammalia; Primates; Cercopithecidae
Description: lncRNA (ENSPTEG00000012660.1)
Source: RNAcentral
AUAAUAUUAGGUGAAAAUUUAGUCAAAGUAAUUAGUCUUACAAAUGUAUCCUAUGACAUGUCAAUCAUAGAUUUCUUGAAAUUUUGUAUUGGUUAUCAAAGAACAUGGAUUUACAAAUUUGUUGACUUUUAUGUUGUGAAAAAUGGAAAAACAUAUAUGUUAAAUAAUCCAUCUGAUAUUGUUAUUUAUGGUCAAACUAUAAGUGAAUUGUUUAAAAUUUGUAGCACAGCUGAACCAUGUAGUAUAACAAUCGAUUUAUGUUCAUAUGAAGAAAGAGUUAGAGGAUUAAUUCAAACAGAAGGAACAAAUGAGGUGUAUGAAAAUACUAUUGUAGUAUUACAAGAAUUACGUAAGAAAAUUAUGGUAGAAGAAUAUUAUUAUUACACAGUAAUAAAUGCAGGAGUAGAUACAAAUGUAUUCAGUUUCGAUAUUAUAUGUUUAGAAUAUAAUGCUGGUUCAUAUGAAAAGAACAUUUUCGGUAAUUCAAGUAUAUGUAAUAUUCCUGCAACCUUUACAGUUGGUGAUGUAUUAGCUUUUGUUGAAAAGAAAUUAAAAGAAGAUGCAAAAGUAAAUCUUACAGAAACGUUAGAAUUACAAAUUGUAUAUAACAAUCAAUAUAUAAAAGUACCAAAUACUAUGAAUAUUGUUGAAGUUAUUAGACAUUAUUGUAACUUUGCUCCAAGUAUUGUUUCGAAACAAAAUCCUGAUCCAUUAAAUUUAAUUCAUUUAAUUUUACACAAUACCAUUAUAGAUAUUGCUUAUAAUACAUUUAUUAAAAAGAAUAUAUCCUUAUAUGUUAAAAAUGAGAAUGCAUUGGAGUUGAUAAAAAUAAGUUAUAUUCCAUUUAAUUUGACAGAAGAUAAUGUAGUAUCAUAUCUAUUAUCUUAUAUUGCACAACCAUAUGAUUUACACAUGUUAAUAAAAGAUAAUUCAACAAUUUGUGUAUAUCCAAACUGUAUAACACCCUAUUUACAUUAUAAUAGUAGACAAUUAUCAAUCAUUGCUUCUUUAUCAUAUCAUGAAACUUUUUCAAAUAUUUGUAUAAUAUCUACUGUUGAAACAUUUGAAAAUUCGUUUGCCAAUCUAAG